CUGCCAGUGGAACAGAACUAAACGGCCGCGGUAUCUUGACCGUGCAAAGGUAGCAUAAUCACUUGUCUUUUAAAUGAAGACUUGUAUGAACGGAAUAACCCUUCUUAACUGUCUCCCUUAUCCCCCUCUAAAACUCAUACUUAGGUGAAGAAUCCUAAAUAAAACAGAAAGACGAGAAGACCCUGUCGAGCUUCAGCUAAAAAAGAGUUUUAGAUAUUAUCUAUACAUCUUAUUAUAGCUUUGGUUGGGGCAACCGCGGAGAAUAAGAAUCCUCCGGAAACCGUGGAAGAACCCUCUUCUCCACCAACGACAAAAGGAACCAGGACCUGGUAAACGGAAAAAGCUACCGCAGGGAUAACAGCGUCAUCUCCUCCAAGAGUCCAUAUUGACGAGGAGGCUUGCGACCUCGAUGUUGGAUUGGGGCACCCACAGGGUGCAGAAGCUCUGAAAGGUCGGACUGUUCGUCCGUUAAAGCCCUACG
Molecule: ribosomal RNA, 481 nt
Filed under: Actinopyga miliaris
Lineage: Eukaryota; Metazoa; Echinodermata; Holothuroidea; Aspidochirotida; Holothuriidae
Description: partial 16S ribosomal RNA
Rfam family: Bacterial large subunit ribosomal RNA
Source: RNAcentral